RNAcentral lists this ribosomal RNA (496 nucleotides) under uncultured bacterium. RNAcentral's name for it is "partial 16S ribosomal RNA". It matches the Rfam family "Bacterial small subunit ribosomal RNA", at positions 28 to 506 of the family's 1533-position model. The record is from RNAcentral.
GAUGAACGCCGGCGGCGUGCCUAAUACAUGCAAGUCGAGCGAACAGACGAGGAGCUUGCUCCUCUGACGUUAGCGGCGGACGGGUGAGUAACACGUGGAUAACCUACCUAUAAGACUGGGAUAACUUCGGGAAACCGGAGCUAAUACCGGAUAAUAUAUUGAACCGCAUGGUUCAAUAGUGAAAGACGGUUUUGCUGUCACUUAUAGAUGGAUCCGCGCCGCAUUAGCUAGUUGGUAAGGUAACGGCUUACCAAGGCAACGAUGCGUAGCCGACCUGAGAGGGUGAUCGGCCACACUGGAACUGAGACACGGUCCAGACUCCUACGGGAGGCAGCAGUAGGGAAUCUUCCGCAAUGGGCGAAAGCUUGACGGAGCAACGCCGCGUGAGUGAUGAAGGUCUUCGGAUCGUAAAACUCUGUUAUUAGGGAAGAACAAAUGUGUAAGUAACUAUGCACGUCUUGACGGUACCUAAUCAGAAAGCCACGGCUAACUACGU